GUAGGUGGCAAGCGUUGUCCGGAAUUAUUGGGCGUAAAGCGCGCGCAGGCGGUUCUUUAAGUCUGACGUGAAAGCCCACGGCUCAACCGUGGAGGGUCAUUGGAAACUGGAGAACUUGAGUACAGAAGAGGAAAGCGGAAUUCCACGUGUAGCGGUGAAAUGCGUAGAGAUGUGGAGGAACACCAGUGGCGAAGGCGGCUUUCUGGUCUGUAACUGACGCUGAGGCGCGAAAGCGUGGGGAGCAAACAGGAUUAGAUACCCUGGUAGUCCACGCCGUAAACGAUGAGUGCUAAGUGUUAGGGGGGUUUCCGCCCCCCUUAGUGCUGCAGCUAACGCAUUAAGCACUCCGCCUGGGAGUACGGCCGCAAGGCUG
RNAcentral lists this ribosomal RNA (373 nucleotides) under uncultured organism. RNAcentral describes it as "partial 16S ribosomal RNA". It matches the Rfam family "Bacterial small subunit ribosomal RNA", at positions 527 to 896 of the family's 1533-position model. The record is from RNAcentral.